This 277-nucleotide signal recognition particle RNA is filed under the name Saimiri boliviensis boliviensis (Bolivian squirrel monkey). Its description in RNAcentral is "Metazoan signal recognition particle RNA (ENSSBOG00000007554.1)". It matches the Rfam family "Metazoan signal recognition particle RNA". Rfam says of the family: The signal recognition particle (SRP) is a universally conserved ribonucleoprotein. It is involved in the co-translational targeting of proteins to membranes. The eukaryotic SRP consists of a 300-nucleotide 7S RNA and six proteins: SRPs 72, 68, 54, 19, 14, and 9. Lineage: Eukaryota; Metazoa; Chordata; Mammalia; Primates; Cebidae. The record is from RNAcentral.
GCCUGGCAUGGUGGCGCGGGAGGCUGAGGUGGGAGGAUCUCUUGAGCCCAGGAGUUCUGGGCUGUAGUGCGCUCUGCCGAUCGGGUGUCUGCACUAAGUUCGGCAUCAGUAUGGUGACCUCCCGGGAGUGGGGGACCACCAGGUUGCCUCAGGAGGGGUCAACUGGCCCAGGUCGGAAACAGAGCAGGUCAAAACUCCUGUGCUGAUCAGUAGUGGGAUCGCGCCUGUGAAUAGCCACUGCACUCCAGCCUGGGCAACAUAGCGAGACCCUGUCUCU